ACAAAGACCCCCUAGAGAUCUUGUUAUUGUGCACAUUCUGGACCAAAGGUCUAGGAAAGUCCUAAGAAUGUGCAUUUCUAAUGAGCUCCCAGGUGAUGUCCAA
This 103-nucleotide microRNA precursor is filed under the name Marmota monax (woodchuck). Lineage: Eukaryota; Metazoa; Chordata; Mammalia; Rodentia; Sciuridae. The record is from RNAcentral.